GAGGCUCUAGCUUAAUUAAAGCGCUUGUUUUGCAUGCAAGAGAUGUAGGUUAAAGCCCUGUGAGUUUUA
RNAcentral lists this transfer RNA (69 nucleotides) under Moema peruensis. RNAcentral's name for it is "Aphyolebias peruensis tRNA-Ala". It matches the Rfam family "tRNA". Rfam says of the family: Transfer RNA (tRNA) molecules are approximately 80 nucleotides in length. Lineage: Eukaryota; Metazoa; Chordata; Actinopteri; Cyprinodontiformes; Rivulidae. The record is from RNAcentral.